This 241-nucleotide ribosomal RNA is filed under the name uncultured Staphylococcus sp. RNAcentral describes it as "partial 16S ribosomal RNA". It matches the Rfam family "Bacterial small subunit ribosomal RNA", at positions 99 to 334 of the family's 1533-position model. The record is from RNAcentral. Lineage: Bacteria; Bacillati; Bacillota; Bacilli; Caryophanales; Staphylococcaceae.
CGGACGGGUGAGUAACACGUGGAUAACCUACCUAUAAGACUGGGAUAACUUCGGGAAACCGGAGCUAAUACCGGAUAAUAUAUUGAACCGCAUGGUUCAAUAGUGAAAGACGGUUUUGCUGUCACUUAUAGAUGGAUCCGCGCCGCAUUAGCUAGUUGGUAAGGUAACGGCUUACAAAGGCAACGAUGCGUAGCCGACCUGAGAGGGUGAUCGGCCACACUGGAACUGAGACACGGUCCAG